RNAcentral lists this ribosomal RNA (253 nucleotides) under uncultured prokaryote. RNAcentral describes it as "partial 16S ribosomal RNA". It matches the Rfam family "Bacterial small subunit ribosomal RNA", at positions 524 to 776 of the family's 1533-position model. The record is from RNAcentral.
UACAGAGGGGGCAAGCGUUGUUCGGAAUUACUGGGCGUAAAGGGCGCGUAGGCGGCCUUCUAAGUCGAACGUGAAAUCCCCGGGCUCAACCCGGGAACUGCGUCCGAUACUGGAAGGCUUGAAUCCGGGAGAGGGAUGCGGAAUUCCAGGUGUAGCGGUGAAAUGCGUAGAUAUCAGGAGGAACACUGGUGGCGAAGGCGGAUCUCUGGGCCUUACCUGACGCUGAGGUGCGAAAGCUAGGGGAGCGAACAGG